UACGUAGGUGGCAAGCGUUGUCCGGAUUUACUGGGUGUAAAGGGAGCGUAGACGGCAGCGCAAGUCUGGAGUGAAAUCCCAUGGCUUAACCAUGGAACUGCUUUGGAAACUGUGCAGCUGGAGUGCAGGAGAGGUAAGCGGAAUUCCUAGUGUAGCGGUGAAAUGCGUAGAUAUUAGGAGGAACACCAGUGGCGAAGGCGGCUUACUGGACUGUAACUGACGUUGAGGCUCAAAAGCGUGGGGAGCAAAUAGG
RNAcentral lists this ribosomal RNA (253 nucleotides) under uncultured bacterium. RNAcentral describes it as "partial 16S ribosomal RNA". It matches the Rfam family "Bacterial small subunit ribosomal RNA", at positions 524 to 776 of the family's 1533-position model. The record is from RNAcentral.